AAAAAAAAAAAAAGAAAUCAAAAACUCAAAAAUCUUAAGGUUCAGUUCGAUUUUCUUUGAUUUCGGUUCGAUUCAGUUCGAUUCGAUUUGAUUCGAUUUUCUUUUAUUUCCUAUAUAUUAAUAAUUUCAGUUCGGUUCGGUUCGAUUUUUUUAUUUUUUAUGAAAAUAAUCGAAUCGAACCGAUUAAUCAAAAUUAUUAAAAUUUAUAAAUCAAACCGAACCUAUUGAAUUUUGAAAUCGAAUCG
This 245-nucleotide unclassified non-coding RNA is filed under the name Hevea brasiliensis (rubber tree). The record is from RNAcentral. Lineage: Eukaryota; Viridiplantae; Streptophyta; Magnoliopsida; Malpighiales; Euphorbiaceae.